Molecule: non-coding RNA, 1811 nt
Organism: Macaca mulatta (Rhesus monkey)
Lineage: Eukaryota; Metazoa; Chordata; Mammalia; Primates; Cercopithecidae
Source: RefSeq, a predicted model, not a curated record
CGUCUCAGAAAAAAAAAAAAAAAAAAAAAGUAAAAAGAAACAGGUCAAAUUAAUUUUAAUAAUAAUCCAACCUAUGUUAACUAUUUCAACAGGCAAUCAAUAUAGAAUUAAUGGAAUUAUUAAGAUAUUCUUUUAUAUCUACUAAGUAAUAAAAAUCCAGUGUAUAUUUUAUACUUCCAGCACAUUUUGGUUCAGACUAGACACAUUUCAAGUGUUCAGUAGCUCAUGGGGCUAGGCAUAGGAAGACUAGAGGUGAACUUUGAGCAGAUGUGUGAAGGCGGUUAUGCAAGAUCUGGGGACAGGAGGCUUUGGACAGUGUGGCUGGAGUAGAGUAAGGAGUACAGAGUGACAAGAUGCAGCUGGAGAGCCAGGCAAGAGCAAGGCACUUAGGGUCUUGUCACAUAGGGUAAGGUAAUGGGAUUUUAUGCUGAAAUCUUAGAGUUGGUUAAUUAUCACCACAAAAAUAAAGCAGAGUUCGUUAAUUGGCUUUUUUCCUGAUAACCAUAACUCCUUGAAGGGACAGGAGUGGCAGCAAGACAAGUUGUAUGAUGACAACUAGGUCUCCAUGUUUCUCUAAGUUGCAGCAGAGAUUCAUCCAGAGACCAGUCUUAGCACCUUUCGUUGUUUCUUGGAAGCCUAAUUCUAUAAAAGAAAGAAAAAAAGAGAAGAAAAAGAGCUUAUCUCCAAAUACAUCAAGUUAUAUACAUUAAAUACAACUUUUUGUAUCUCAGUCAUACCUCAAUAAAGUGGUUUAAAAAAAAGAAAAAAGAAAAUUCAGGCUCACAGCCCAGUGGUCAUCACACAAAGACUAGCAUGAAUGAUAACAAAAUCAAUCUGGAGACAAUGACUGUACAGAAGUAGUAAAUGUAUAAUUAUUACAAGAAGGUAAGUAACUCCAGACUUCAUUAGGAAGUCACUGUAACAUCUGGGGCAGAAGGCAGGUUGCGGAAGGAAGGCAAUACCACCAAGACUGUCCUUUAAAGACAGCGAAAGGCACAGUGUGGGGAUUAUAAAACACCUUAGUCUUGCCUUCUUGCUAGGCAAAGUCGGUGACAAGUUUUGGCUGUGUCCUCACCCAAAUCUCAUUUUGAAUUGUAGUUCCCAUACUCCCCACGUGUUGUGGGAGGGAGCUGGUGGGAGGUAAUUGAAUCAUGGGGUUGGUUGCCUUCAUGUUGUUUUCGUGAUGGUGAAUGAGUUUUCGGGAGAUCUCACCAGAUCUUUACUCUGCUCUUCUUCCUGCUGCCAUGUGCAAAAGGAUGUGUUUGCUUCCCCUUCCGCUAUGAUUGUAAGUUUCCUGAGGCCUCCCCAGCCAUGCUGAACUGAGGAAGAUGUGGUGGUGGUGAAGAAAUAUGAAAGUCACUCUAGAAAUGUGUCAGAGAAUGAUUCACACUGAGGAUGAAACAGUAACGCCUCUUGUAUCAUCAGUGGCAUUUGUGUGGAACAUCCCUGUCACUGAUAUUCAGGAUGCUUUUGGAUAUGCUGACACAUGAUGCUGUCAUAUUACUAAUUGUGUUUAUGAUGUAUCUCAAAGCAUUUGCUACACUCUUUUUUUUUUGGUUGUUGUUAAAAAUGUUGUAUUGAGUUUUGGGAUCUAAAAUAUAAUUUUUUUCUAUAUAAAUAUAAUCUGAAAUGUUGAAUGAUGUUAUGGUCCUAAAUACAAGAGGUAACUUAGUGGGAAAAUAUAAAUCUGUGGAGUAUUCCUGUACUCGCUUUAUAAAGUAAUCUGAAGAACUAUUCAUCUCUUUCUCUUACCUGAAAGUUUUUGUGUAAUGUCAGAAUUCUUUUUCUUAAUUAAAAAAUUCCACUUUUAA